CUUGCUCCCGGAUGUUAGCGGCGGACGGGUGAGUAACACGUGGGUAACCUGCCUGUAAGACUGGGAUAACUCCGGGAAACCGGAGCUAAUACCGGAUAGUUCCUUGAACCGCAUGGUUCAAGGAUGAAAGACGGUUUCGGCUGUCACUUACAGAUGGACCCGCGGCGCAUUAGCUAGUUGGUGAGGUAACGGCUCACCAAGGCGACGAUGCGUAGCCGACCUGAGAGGGUGAUCGGCCACACUGGGACUGAGACACGGCCCAGACUCCUACGGGAGGCAGCAGUAGGGAAUCUUCCGCAAUGGACGAAAGUCUGACGGAGCAACGCCGCGUGAGUGAUGAAGGUUUUCGGAUCGUAAAGCUCUGUUGUUAGGGAAGAACAAGUGCAAGAGUAACUGCUUGCACCUUGACGGUACCUAACCAGAAAGCCACGGCUAACUACGUGCCAGCAGCCGCGGUAAUACGUAGGUGGCAAGCGUUGUCCGGAAUUAUUGGGCGUAAAGGGCUCGCAGGCGGUUUCUUAAGUCUGAUGUGAAAGCCCCCGGCUCAACCGGGGAGGGUCAUUGGAAACUGGGAAACUUGAGUGCAGAAGAGGAGAGUGGAAUUCCACGUGUAGCGGUGAAAUGCGUAGAGAUGUGGAGGAACACCAGUGGCGAAGGCGACUCUCUGGUCUGUAACUGACGCUGAGGAGCGAAAGCGUGGGGAGCGAACAGGAUUAGAU
Molecule: ribosomal RNA, 719 nt
Filed under: Bacillus altitudinis
Lineage: Bacteria; Bacillati; Bacillota; Bacilli; Caryophanales; Bacillaceae
Description: bacterial SSU rRNA
Rfam family: Bacterial small subunit ribosomal RNA
Source: RNAcentral